GACGAACGCUGGCGGCGUGCUUAACACAUGCAAGUCGAACGGAAAGGCCCUGCUUUUGUGGGGUGCUCGAGUGGCGAACGGGUGAGUAACACGUGAGUAACCUGCCCUUGACUUUGGGAUAACUUCAGGAAACUGGGGCUAAUACCGGAUAGGAGCUCCUGCUGCAUGGUGGGGGUUGGAAAGUUUCGGCGGUUGGGGAUGGACUCGCGGCUUUUCAGCUUGUUGGUGGGGUAGUGGCUUACCAAGGCUUUGACGGGCAGCCGGCCUGAGAGGGUGACCGGCCACAUUGGGACUGAGAUACGGCCCAGACUCCUACGGGAGGCAGCAGUGGGGAAUAUUGCACAAUGGGCGGAAGCCUGAUGCAGCAACGCCGCGUGCGGGAUGACGGCCUUCGGGUUGUAAACCGCUUUCGCCUGUGACGAAGCGUGAGUGACGGUAAUGGGUAAAGAAGCACCGGCUAACUACGU
RNAcentral lists this ribosomal RNA (467 nucleotides) under uncultured bacterium. Its description in RNAcentral is "partial 16S ribosomal RNA". It matches the Rfam family "Bacterial small subunit ribosomal RNA", at positions 28 to 506 of the family's 1533-position model. The record is from RNAcentral.